RNAcentral lists this ribosomal RNA (252 nucleotides) under uncultured bacterium. RNAcentral describes it as "partial 16S ribosomal RNA". It matches the Rfam family "Bacterial small subunit ribosomal RNA", at positions 524 to 775 of the family's 1533-position model. The record is from RNAcentral.
UACGGAGGGGGCUAGCGUUGUUCGGAAUUACUGGGCGUAAAGCGCGCGUAGGCGGUGAUCUUUGUCAGAGGUGAAAUCCCGAGGCUCAACUUCGGAAUUGCCUUUGAAACGGGAUCGCUUGAGUCCGAGAGAGGAUGGCGGAAUUCCUAGUGUAGAGGUGAAAUUCGUAGAUAUUAGGAAGAACACCGGUGGCGAAGGCGGCCAUCUGGCUCGGUACUGACGCUCAGGCGCGAAAGCGUGGGGAGCAACAGG